This 1507-nucleotide ribosomal RNA is filed under the name Helicobacter pylori FD662. RNAcentral describes it as "bacterial SSU rRNA". It matches the Rfam family "Bacterial small subunit ribosomal RNA". Lineage: Bacteria; Pseudomonadati; Campylobacterota; Epsilonproteobacteria; Campylobacterales; Helicobacteraceae. The record is from RNAcentral.
UUUAUGGAGAGUUUGAUCCUGGCUCAGAGUGAACGCUGGCGGCGUGCCUAAUACAUGCAAGUCGAACGAUGAAGCUUCUAGCUUGCUAGAAUGCUGAUUAGUGGCGCACGGGUGAGUAACGCAUAGGUUAUGUGCCUCUUAGUUUGGGAUAGCCAUUGGAAACGAUGAUUAAUACCAGAUACUCCCUACGGGGGAAAGAUUUAUCGCUAAGAGAUCAGCCUAUGUCCUAUCAGCUUGUUGGUAAGGUAAUGGCUUACCAAGGCUAUGACGGGUAUCCGGCCUGAGAGGGUGAACGGACACACUGGAACUGAGACACGGUCCAGACUCCUACGGGAGGCAGCAGUAGGGAAUAUUGCUCAAUGGGGGAAACCCUGAAGCAGCAACGCCGCGUGGAGGAUGAAGGUUUUAGGAUUGUAAACUCCUUUUGUUAGAGAAGAUAAUGACGGUAUCUAACGAAUAAGCACCGGCUAACUCCGUGCCAGCAGCCGCGGUAAUACGGAGGGUGCAAGCGUUACUCGGAAUCACUGGGCGUAAAGAGCGCGUAGGCGGGAUAGUCAGUCAGGUGUGAAAUCCUAUGGCUUAACCAUAGAACUGCAUUUGAAACUACUAUUCUAGAGUGUGGGAGAGGUAGGUGGAAUUCUUGGUGUAGGGGUAAAAUCCGUAGAGAUCAAGAGGAAUACUCAUUGCGAAGGCGACCUGCUGGAACAUUACUGACGCUGAUUGUGCGAAAGCGUGGGGAGCAAACAGGAUUAGAUACCCUGGUAGUCCACGCCCUAAACGAUGGAUGCUAGUUGUUGGAGGGCUUAGUCUCUCCAGUAAUGCAGCUAACGCAUUAAGCAUCCCGCCUGGGGAGUACGGUCGCAAGAUUAAAACUCAAAGGAAUAGACGGGGACCCGCACAAGCGGUGGAGCAUGUGGUUUAAUUCGAAGAUACACGAAGAACCUUACCUAGGCUUGACAUUGAGAGAAUCCGCUAGAAAUAGUGGAGUGUCUGGCUUGCCAGACCUUGAAAACAGGUGCUGCACGGCUGUCGUCAGCUCGUGUCGUGAGAUGUUGGGUUAAGUCCCGCAACGAGCGCAACCCCCUUUCUUAGUUGCUAACAGGUUAUGCUGAGAACUCUAAGGAUACUGCCUCCGUAAGGAGGAGGAAGGUGGGGACGACGUCAAGUCAUCAUGGCCCUUACGCCUAGGGCUACACACGUGCUACAAUGGGGUGCACAAAGAGAAGCAAUACUGCGAAGUGGAGCCAAUCUUCAAAACACCUCUCAGUUCGGAUUGUAGGCUGCAACUCGCCUGCAUGAAGCUGGAAUCGCUAGUAAUCGCAAAUCAGCCAUGUUGCGGUGAAUACGUUCCCGGGUCUUGUACUCACCGCCCGUCACACCAUGGGAGUUGUGUUUGCCUUAAGUCAGGAUGCUAAAUUGGCUACUGCCCACGGCACACACAGCGACUGGGGUGAAGUCGUAACAAGGUAACCGUAGGUGAACCUGCGGUUGGAUCACCUCCUUUCUA